This is a non-coding RNA of Drosophila takahashii, 707 nucleotides long. The record is from RefSeq and is a predicted model, not a curated record. NCBI's taxonomy places the organism in Eukaryota, Metazoa, Arthropoda, Insecta, Diptera, Drosophilidae.
CGCGAGCAUUGUAACGGAUUGCAAGUCACGGACGCUUGGAUUAACGGUACUGUUGCCCUCAGUGUCAUCUAUGUGUGAGUGAGAGUGUGUGACCGGUCAACAAAAAAAAUUAACAACAAAAACCCUUUACUAAACCCCAAAAUCGACACUCGUGCAUGAGUGGUUAAAAAAGUGAAUCAGUGUAACAGUUGAGAGUUCGAAAAACCACUUUCAAAAUGAUAUCAAACGAAAUAUGAUUGCAAGCAGCUGAUAAACAGCGUACAAAACAGCAUUCAGCCAAAACAAAGUGAUCUAGAAAAAGUGUUAAGCUAAAUCGUUCAAUUUGGAAGGAACAAAGAUCAUAACCGCUCAAACAAGUCACAUAAAUUUUGAACGGAGCAGGAAGCCAUUCGAAACAAAAAUCCGUCAGAAAUCAACAACCAACAUGUUUGGCCAUCUCAAUUUGCUGGCCGCUCUGUUUUUCAUCGGCACACUGAAAGGUAAGUCGCUGAGAACUUUUCCGACCGCCCACCCAUCGACUUCUACCAUCUUCCGAAAUAAGGUAAACAAGGAAAACACUCAACUUCUUUGUGCCCUGCGAACAACUGUGUCGUUGUCGUUGGCGUGAAAAAAUCCAUUAGAAGUGGAACUAUGUCAAUCGAUGGCAGAAAGAAAGAACAUUGAGUGACGAAGAGGAAGAAAGCUCCGGGGCGAAGCAUAAGCUGUAC